GACGAACGCUGGCGGCGUGCCUAACACAUGCAAGUCGAACGAAGAAUGUUUUCGGAAUAUUCUUAGUGGCGGACGGGUGAGUAACGCGUGAACAAUCUGCCCCGUACAAAGGGAUAGCCUCGGGAAACCGGGAUUAAAACCAUAUAACGCUUUAGUACCGCAUGGUAAUAAAGUCAAAUCGAUUAAGAGGUAUGGGAUGAGUUCGCGUCUGAUUAGCUAGUUGGUGAGGUAAGGGCUCACCAAGGCGACGAUCAGUAGCCGGCCUGAGAGGGUGAACGGCCACACUGGAACUGAGACACGGUCCAGACUCCUACGGGAGGCAGCAGUGGGGAAUAUUGCACAAUGGAGGGAACUCUGAUGCAGCGACGCCGCGUGAGUGAAGAAGGUCUUCGGAUCGUAAAACUCUGUCCUUGGUGAAGAAAAGGACGGUAGCCAAGGAGGAAGCCCCGGCUAACUACGUG
This 461-nucleotide ribosomal RNA is filed under the name uncultured bacterium. Its description in RNAcentral is "bacterial SSU rRNA". It matches the Rfam family "Bacterial small subunit ribosomal RNA", at positions 28 to 507 of the family's 1533-position model. The record is from RNAcentral.